GAUGAACGCUGGCGACGUGCCUAAUACAUGCAAGUCGAGCGAACGGACGAGAAGCUUGCUUCUCUGAUGUUAGCGGCGGACGGGUGAGUAACACGUGGAUAACCUACCUAUAAGACUGGGAUAACUUCGGGAAACCGGAGCUAAUACCGGAUAAUAUUUUGAACCGCAUGGUUCAAAAGUGAAAGACGGUCUUGCUGUCACUUAUAGAUGGAUCCGCGCUGCAUUAGCUAGUUGGUAAGGUAACGGCUUACCAAGGCAACGAUGCAUAGCCGACCUGAGAGGGUGAUCGGCCACACUGGAACUGAGACACGGUCCAGACUCCUACGGGAGGCAGCAGUAGGGAAUCUUCCGCAAUGGGCGAAAGCCUGACGGAGCAACGCCGCGUGAGUGAUGAAGGUCUUCGGAUCGUAAAACUCUGUUAUUAGGGAAGAACAUAUGUGUAAGUAACUGUGCACAUCUUGACGGUACCUAAUCAGAAAGCCACGGCUAUCUACGUG
RNAcentral lists this ribosomal RNA (497 nucleotides) under uncultured bacterium. Its description in RNAcentral is "partial 16S ribosomal RNA". It matches the Rfam family "Bacterial small subunit ribosomal RNA", at positions 28 to 507 of the family's 1533-position model. The record is from RNAcentral.